RNAcentral lists this ribosomal RNA (55 nucleotides) under uncultured Dinobryon. RNAcentral describes it as "partial Eukaryotic small subunit ribosomal RNA". The record is from RNAcentral. Lineage: Eukaryota; Chrysophyceae; Chromulinales.
ACCGUGAAAGAGAAAAGUGCUUACUUGGGUCGAAGUCGACAAUUCAAUUACCAUA